RNAcentral lists this long non-coding RNA (205 nucleotides) under Elaeis guineensis (African oil palm). RNAcentral's name for it is "long non-coding RNA (EGUI_LNC057640)". The record is from RNAcentral. Lineage: Eukaryota; Viridiplantae; Streptophyta; Magnoliopsida; Arecales; Arecaceae.
GUGUGAAGAGAAGAGUCCAACUCAAUUUGAACUCUAGAUUUUCAUUCAAAUUCAAAACCAUUUGAACUCAAAUUUAAACCAAUCAAUUUCUAAUUUAAAAGAAAUUAGAUGUGGACAUAGAAAAACUUUUGGGCAUGAGAAUAAUUUAUGUAAAAAUUUUUUCUACCAUGAAGAAUAAGAGGGUGCAGAUAAAAGAGGUGCAAGG